RNAcentral lists this long non-coding RNA (4038 nucleotides) under Gallus gallus (chicken). RNAcentral's name for it is "lncRNA (ENSGALG00010010144.1)". The record is from RNAcentral. Lineage: Eukaryota; Metazoa; Chordata; Aves; Galliformes; Phasianidae.
CUGGGAGCACCGGGAGGGACUGGGAGGGACUGGGAUAUUGGAACUGGGAGCACUGGGAGCACUGGGAGCACUGGGAGGGAUGGGGAAACUGGGAGCACUGGGAGGGACUGGGAGCACUGGGAGGGACUGGGACAUACUGGGACUGGGGGCACUGGGAGCACUGGGAGGGACUGGGAGGGACUGGGGGUACUGGGGGAGACUGGGACAUACUGGGACUGGGGGUACUGGGGGCACUGGGCUGUACUGGGUUGUACUGGUCAUACUGGUGGCACUGGUGGUACUGGGAGCCCUGGUGGUACUGGUGGCACUGGUGGCACUGGGUUGUACUGGGCUGUACUGGUGGCACUGGUGGCACUGGGGAUACUGGUGGUGAUACUGGUGAUACUGGGAGCACUGGUGGCACUGGGAGCACUGGUUAUACUGGUGAUACUGGGAGCACUGGUGAUACUGGGAGCACUGGUGGUUCUGGUGCUGAUACUGGUGGUACUGGUGAUACUGGGAGCACUGGUGGCGCUGGGUUGUACUGGGUUGUACUGGUCAUACUGGUGGCACUGGUGGCACUGGGGAUACUGGAAGUACUGGUGAUACUGGUGGUGGUACUGGUGAUACUGGGAGCACUGGUGCUACUGGUUGCACUGGUGAUACUGGUCAUACUGGUGAUACUGGUGGUACUGGUGGCACUGGUGGCACUGGUGAUACUGGGUUGUACUGGUGAUACUGGUGGCACUGGUGGUACUGGGAGCCCUGAUGAUACUGGUGGCACUGGUGGUACUGGUUGUACUGGGAGCACUGGAGGCACUGGGUUGUACUGGUCAUACUGGUGAUACUGGUGGUACUGGGAGCUCUGGAGACACUGGGAGCACUGGUGAUACUGGUCAUACUGGUGAUACUGGUGGUACUGGUGGCACUGGGUUGUACUGGGUUGUACUGGUCAUCCUGGAGGUACUGGUGAUACUGGGAGCACUGGUGGUACUGGGAGCACUGGUCAUACUGGUGGUACUGGGCCGUACUGGGUUGUACUGGUCAUACUGGUGGUGGUACUGGUGAUACUGGGAGCACUGGUGAUACUGGUGGCACUGGGCUGUACUGGGUUGUACUGGUCAUACUGGUGGCACUGGUGAUACUGGGAGCACUGGGUUGUACUGGUGGUGGUACUGGUGAUACUGGUGGUACUGGGAGCUCUGGAGACACUGGGAGCACUGGUGAUACUGGUCAUACUGGUGAUACUGGUGGUACUGGUGGCACUGGGCUGUACUGGGUUGUACUGGUCAUACUGGUGGCACUGGUGGUACUGGGAGCACUGGUGAUACUGGUGGCACUGGUGGCACUGGGAGUACUGGGCUGUACUGGGUUGUACUGGUGGCACUGGGGAUACUGGUGGUGAUACUGGUGAUACUGGGAGCCCUGGAGACACUGGGAGCACUGGUGAUACUGGUCAUACUGGUGGUACUGGUGGUACUGGGAGCACUGGAGACACUGGUGGCACUGGUGAUACUGGUGGUACUGGGAGCAGUGGGCUGUACUGGGUUGUACUGGUCAUACUGGUGGCACUGGUGGUACUGGGAGCCCUGGUGGUACUGGUGAUACUGGUGGCACUGGGUUGUACUGGGCUGUACUGGUGGCACUGGUGGCAAUGGGGAUACUGGUGGUGAUACUGGUGAUACUGGGAGCACUGGUGGCACUGGGAGCACUGGUGGUACUGGUGAUACUGGGAGCACUGGUGGUACUGGGAGCACUGGUGGUUCUGGUGCUGAUACUGGUGGUACUGGUGAUACUGGGAGCACUGGUGGCGCUGGGUUGUACUGGGUUGUACUGGUCAUACUGGAGGCACUGGUGGUACUGGGGAUACUGGGAGUACUGGUGAUACUGGUGGUGGUACUGGUGAUACUGGUGGCACUGGUGCUACUGGGUUGUACUGGGUUGUACUGGUCAUACUGGUGGUACUGGUGGCACUGGAUUGUACUGGGUUGUACUGGUCCUACUGGUGGCACUGGGGAUACUGGGAGCACUGGUGAUACUGGUGGUACUGGUGACACUGGGAGCACUGGUGGUACUGGGAGCACUGGUGAUACUGCUGACACUGGUGGUACUGGGUUGUACUGGUCAUACUGGUGGUACUGGUGAUACUGGGAGCUCUGGAGACACUGGGAGCACUGGUGAUACUGGUCAUACUGGUGGUACUGGGGAUACUGGGAGCUCUGGAGACACUGGGAGCACUGGUGGUACUGGGAGCACUGGUGGCACUGGUGAUACUGGGUUGUACUGGUCAUACUGGUGGCACUGGUGACGCUGGUGGUACUGGAAGUACUGGUGAUACUGGUGGUGGUACUGGUGAUACUGGGAGCACUGGUGCUACUGGUUGCACUGGUGAUACUGGUCAUACUGGUGAUACUGGUGGUACUGGUGGCACUGGUGGCACUGGUGAUACUGGGAGCCCUGAUGAUACUGGUGGCACUGGUGGUACUGGUUGUACUGGGAGCACUGGAGGCACUGGGUUGUACUGGUCAUACUGGUGAUACUGGUGGUACUGGGAGCUCUGGAGACACUGGGAGCACUGGUGAUAAUGGUCAUACUGGUGAUACUGGUGGUACUGGUGGCACUGGGCUGUACUGGGUUGUACUGGUGAUACUGGUGGCACUGGUGGCACUGGGCUGUACUGGGUUGUACUGGUCAUACUGGUGGCACUGGUGAUACUGGCGGUACUGGUGGCACUGGGCUGUAAUGGUGGUGUGCAGGACCCCUUCAGGCCCCGCCCCCUUCAGGCAACAUCCAAUCAGGCCACGCCCUCUCAAGCCACGCCCAUGACAGGCCCCGCCCCACUUUGCCGCAAUGUCCAAUCCGGCCCCGCCCCCCCGCGCGCUUUGGCCCCGCCCACUUUGAUUAACGCCCAAUCGCGCCCCGCCCCGAUUAUGCCCCGCCCCGCCCCUCCGUUUUGGCCCCGCCCACUUUGCGGCAGUGUCCAAUCAGGCCCCUCCCCCGAUCGGGACCAGCCCAUUAGUCCAGCCACGCCCAGUUUGCGCUAACGUCCAAUCAGGCCCCGCCCCGUUAAGCCCCCCCCCCCCGUCGGGCCACGCCCAGUUUGCAGCAACGUCCAAUCAGACACCGCUCUUUUAAGCCCCGCCCAUCUGUCCAGCCACGCCCGAUUUGCGGUAUUAUCUAAUUCGGCCCCGCCCCCCCAGCUCAGACCCCGCCCAGUUUGGGAUCUCGUCCAAUCAGACCCCACCCCUUUAAACCCUGCCCCCGCUCAGACCCCCGCCCUGUUUGAGAUAACGUCCAAUCGGGCCCCGCCCCGAUUAUGCCCCGCCCCGCCCCUCCGUUUUGGCCCCGCCCACUUUGCGGCAAUGUCCAAUCAGGCCCCGCCCCCGAUCGGGACCAGCCCAUUAGUCCAGCCACGCCCAGUUUGCGCUAACGUCCAAUCAGGCCCCGCCCCGUUAAGCACUCCCCCGUCGGGCCACGCCCAGUUUGCAGCAACGUCCAAUCAGACCCCACCCCUUUAAACCCCGCCCCCGCUCAGACCCCCGCCCGGUUUGUGAUAACGUCCAAUCAGGCCCCGCCCCCUGGUCAGGCCCCGCCCACUCUGCGGAGCGGAAGGCGGUGGCGCGCGGUGCGCCAUGAGCCCACGGGAGCGCGCACGGAGACCACGGCGCUGAGCCAUGGCUGAGCCGUGCCCUAUGGGGUGUGGGUGCCCUAUGGGUGCCCUAUGGGUGCUGUAUGGGAUAUGGGUGCCCUAUGGGUGCUGUAUGGGAUAUGGAUGCCCUAUGGGUGCCCUAUGGGUAUUCUAUGGGUGCCCUAUGGGUGCUGUAUGGGAUAUGGGAGCCCUAUGAAUGCUGUAUGGGUGCUCUAUGGGAUAUGGUUGCCCUAUGGGUGCCCUAUGGUUGCCCUAUGGGUGCUCUAUGGGAUAUGGGCGCCCUAUGGGUGCCCUAGGGGUGCUCUAUGGGAUAUGGGUGCCCUAUGGGUGCUGUAUGGGAUAUGGAUGCCCUAUGGGUGCCCUAUGGGUAUUCUAUGGGUGCCCUAUGGGUGCUGUAUGGGAUAUGGGAG